AAUUACAUGUUAUUCGUUCUUG
This 22-nucleotide microRNA is filed under the name Drosophila simulans. RNAcentral's name for it is "dsi-miR-982a-3p". Its record names the gene dsi-miR-982a-3p. Lineage: Eukaryota; Metazoa; Arthropoda; Insecta; Diptera; Drosophilidae. The record is from miRBase by way of RNAcentral.